Long non-coding RNA from Hordeum vulgare subsp. vulgare (domesticated barley), 592 nucleotides. RefSeq lists it as uncharacterized. The transcript has 3 exons. The record is from RefSeq and is a predicted model, not a curated record. NCBI's taxonomy places the organism in Eukaryota, Viridiplantae, Streptophyta, Magnoliopsida, Poales, Poaceae.
CCUGAUUAUACCUGUUUAUCUCUUUGUUUCCUGUUAUCUUUUGUGGGGGUCCUUGUUUGGUCAUCUGCAUGUGACUCCGAUCUACUUGUGCUUGAUGUUGUGUUGGCUCAAUAGUCUAUCUGGGGGCUUAAGACACAGAGGAGGCAGAUGUAUAGAUAAUACAUCAAUUUAUAUCUACACUUGUGCUUCGUGUGCUCCUAGACCAUCACUCGUCUCAAACAGGACGUUAUGUGCCUCCAGCUAAUCAAAAAAGGAUGUUCCACUCUUAGCUCUGAAUCUUUCCUUCCUAUAUGUGGGUAGUUUGUAAUGAUGUGCACCGCCACUGAGUACCAUGUUGUGUUCUUGCUAGGAAUCUGAAGAUAGUGGAGCUCCUUUGGACGCUAACAAGGGGACAAGAGAGCAGGCACUGGCCGUGCUCGACGGCGUCCUGUAUGCAGACACGGGCAUCAACGAUCUUAGUCCACAGCCCACAUGAUUAGCCAUCUUUACUACAUGAGUGAAAAAUUCUUGAGCCAUCCCCAUAAGUGAUCACAUAUGUGAGUCCAUUGUAAUAUUACACUCAUCAACAACCGAAAUGAAAUUACAUUCUAUA